This 272-nucleotide unclassified non-coding RNA is filed under the name plant metagenome. RNAcentral describes it as "partial contains small subunit ribosomal RNA, internal transcribed spacer 1, and 5.8S ribosomal RNA". The record is from RNAcentral.
UUUCCGUAGGUGAACCUGCGGAAGGAUCAUUAAUGAGUUGUCAUGGGGUUCGAUGCUGGCAGCCAGCUUUUGGAUGCAUGUGCUUGCCCUAACAAUCAUCUUCUUCCAAACACCUGUGCACAUUUUUGAGGGAGUCUUGAGUUGGUUGCCGCUCUUGGGUGAUUUUCUCACAUUCCCUUAAAUCAUUAUACGCUAUUAACAAUGUUGAACGUGCUCUGUGCCGCAAGGCCAUUAAUAUAAUACAACUUUUAACAACGGAUCUCUUGGCUCUC